UGGAUCCAGACUUUGAUUAUGGCUCAGGAUAAACGCUGGCGGCGCACAUAAGACAUGCAAGUCGAACGGACUUAACCGAAGUAUUUAUAUUUUGGAGCGGUUAGUGGCGGACUGGUGAGUAACACGUAAGCAACCUGCCUAUUGGAGGGGAAUAACAGUGAGAAAUCAUUGCUAAUACCGCAUAUGCUGUGAGUAUCGCAUGAUACAAACAGGAAAGGAGCAAUCCGCUAAUAGAUGGGCUUGCGUCUGAUUAGAUAGUUGGUGGGGUAAUGGCCUACCAAGUCGACGAUCAGUAGCCGGACUGAGAGGUUGAACGGCCACAUUGGGACUGAGAUACGGCCCAGACUCCUACGGGAGGCAGCAGUCGGGAAUAUUGCACAAUGGAGGAAACUCUGAUGCAGUGACGCCGCGUGCAGGAAGAAGGUUUUCGGAUUGUAAACUGCUUUAGACAGGGAAGAAGAAAGACAGUACCUGUAGAAUAAGCUCCGGCUAACUACGUGCCAGCAGCCGCGGUAAUACGUAGGGAGCAAGCGUUAUCCGGAUUUAUUGGGUGUAAAGGGUGCGUAGACGGGAAUUUAAGUUAGUUGUGAAAUCCCUCGGCUUAACUGAGGAACUGCAACUAAAACUGAAUUUCUUGAGUGCGGGAGAGGAAAGUGGAAUUCCUAGUGUAGCGGUGAAAUGCGUAGAUAUUAGGAGGAACACCAGUGGCGAAGGCGACUUUC
Molecule: ribosomal RNA, 722 nt
Filed under: uncultured Bacillota bacterium
Lineage: Bacteria; Bacillati; Bacillota
Description: bacterial SSU rRNA
Rfam family: Bacterial small subunit ribosomal RNA
Source: RNAcentral